Molecule: unclassified non-coding RNA, 467 nt
Filed under: Hevea brasiliensis (rubber tree)
Lineage: Eukaryota; Viridiplantae; Streptophyta; Magnoliopsida; Malpighiales; Euphorbiaceae
Source: RNAcentral
AAUAAAAAAAUAAAAAGAAAAAAAGGAGAAUGAGCGAUGGGGAUGCAGAUGAGGACAACGUAGAACAUAGAGAUGGCAGCGUUGCGAUGCCAAUGCUUAGGCCUGCAAUACGGGCCACAAGUCAUGCUCCACACCUUCAUUCUGAAGUCCUCAUGAGCCCUCUUAGCUUCGUGACCAUGUUCUGCUCCUCUUAUAUUUGAUCAAUUUUAUUAGUUCAUUCUUUGUUAUCUCUCCCCCAAUCUUUCUUCUUCGACUGAGAAAUGGUUGAACAAAGUGGGAUCAAUCUCUGUGAACUUAUUGUUGACAUUAAUAAUGCAUUUGCCGAAGAUCCUAAGUGGGUCUACUCCCUCAUGAUGAGAUUGCUUUUAUUGUGGUGAGCCUUUCUUUGUGGUGUGAGAACCUCAAAAUCCAAAGGCAGAUGAGGAUGAUUGUUAUGUGGUUCAUGAUGAGAUUGCUGGAGAGGCCAA